CCGGCCGGUAGCCCCGUCCCUCGUAUCUCGUUAUCCUUCGAGGCGCGCAAGAGAGCGCCCACCUCAGGAUGACGUUUCCUCGCCGCGCGGCCUGUGCUUUACGUUUCCCAUGCGUCUUACCCUGACCACGUGGAACAUCAAUUCGGUGCGGCUGCGCAUCGAUCUGGUCGCGAAGUUCAUCAAGUCCGUGCGGCCCGAUG
RNAcentral lists this unclassified non-coding RNA (200 nucleotides) under Hevea brasiliensis (rubber tree). Lineage: Eukaryota; Viridiplantae; Streptophyta; Magnoliopsida; Malpighiales; Euphorbiaceae. The record is from RNAcentral.